Molecule: ribosomal RNA, 253 nt
Filed under: uncultured bacterium
Lineage: Bacteria
Description: partial 16S ribosomal RNA
Rfam family: Bacterial small subunit ribosomal RNA
Source: RNAcentral
GACAGAGGUGCCGAGCGUUAGGCGGAAUCACUGGGCUUAAAGCGUGUGUAGGCGGAUCUGUAAGUACCUUGUGAAAUCCCACGGCUCAACCGUGGAACUGCUGGGUAUACUGCGGAUCUUGAGCCACCUAGGGGCGAGCGGAACAAGUGGUGGAGCGGUGAAAUGCGUAGAUAUCACUUGGAACGCCAAUGGUGAAAACAGCUCGCUGGGGGUGUGCUGACGCUGAGACACGAAAGCCAGGGGAGCAAACGGG